UCACGAAAAGGUGGAUUGUACUAGAAGCCUGCAGGCCGACCCGCAAGGGGGGCAGCGGUCCAAGGUAUGAUCCAUGAUUGGGGUG
RNAcentral lists this ribosomal RNA (85 nucleotides) under uncultured bacterium. Its description in RNAcentral is "partial 16S ribosomal RNA". The record is from RNAcentral.